Molecule: ribosomal RNA, 514 nt
Filed under: uncultured bacterium
Lineage: Bacteria
Description: partial 16S ribosomal RNA
Rfam family: Bacterial small subunit ribosomal RNA
Source: RNAcentral
AAUGAACGCUGGCGGCGUGCCUAAUACAUGCAAGUCGAGCGAACGUCAUAGAAGCUUGCUUCUAUGACGUUAGCGGCGGACGGGUGAGUAACACGUGGGCAACCUGCCUGUAAGACCGGGAUAACUUCGGGAAACCGAAGCUAAUACCGGAUAGGACCUUCUCCUUCAUGGGAGAUGAUUGAAGGAUGGUUUCGGACAUCACUUACAGAUGGGCCCGCGGUGCAUUAGCUAGUUGGUGAGCUAACGGCUCACCAACGCAACGAUGCAUAGCCGACCUGAGAGGGUGAUCGGCCACACUGGGACUGAACCACGGCCCAGACUCCUACGGGAGGCAGCAGUAGGGAAUCUUCCGCAAUGGACGAAAGUCUGACGGAGCAACGCCGCGUGAGUGAUGAAGGCUUUCGGGUCGUAAAACUCUGUUGUUAGGGAAGAACAAGUACGAGAGUAACUGCUCGUACCUUGACGGUACCUAACCAGAAAGCCACGGCUAACUACGUGCCAGCCGCCGCCGUAA